AGAGUUUGAUCCUGGCUCAGAUUGAACGCUGGCAGCAUGCUUUACACAUGCAAGUCGAACGGCAGCACAGGGAGCUUGCUCCCGGGUGGCGAGUGGCGCACGGGUGAGUAAUACAUCGGAACGUGUCCUGUUGUGGGGGAUAACUGCUCGAAAGGGUGGCUAAUACCGCAUGAGACCUGAGGGUGAAAGCGGGGGAGUCGCAAGACCUCGCGCAAUUGGAGCGGCCGAUGCCCGAUUAGCUAGUUGGUGAGGUAAAGGCUCACCAAGGCGACGAUCGGUAGCUGGUCUGAGAGGACGACCAGCCACACUGGGGACUGAGACACGGCCCAGACUCCUACGGGAGCA
This 345-nucleotide ribosomal RNA is filed under the name uncultured bacterium. RNAcentral describes it as "bacterial SSU rRNA". It matches the Rfam family "Bacterial small subunit ribosomal RNA", at positions 8 to 349 of the family's 1533-position model. The record is from RNAcentral.